This 117-nucleotide ribosomal RNA is filed under the name Dehalococcoides sp. RNAcentral also lists the same sequence under 4 other names. Lineage: Bacteria; Bacillati; Chloroflexota; Dehalococcoidia; Dehalococcoidales; Dehalococcoidaceae. The record is from RNAcentral.
CCCGGUGACCAUAACGAAGAGGCCACACCCGGUCCCAUUCCGAACCCGGAAGUUAAGCUCUUCAGUGCCGAUGAUACUGCUCUGGCAACGGAGUGGGAAAGUAGGUCGUCACCGGGU